This 253-nucleotide ribosomal RNA is filed under the name uncultured bacterium. RNAcentral describes it as "partial 16S ribosomal RNA". It matches the Rfam family "Bacterial small subunit ribosomal RNA", at positions 524 to 776 of the family's 1533-position model. The record is from RNAcentral.
UACGUAGGGUGCGAGCGUUGCCCGGAUUUACUGGGCGUAAAGGGUGCGUAGGCGGUUGUUUAAGUCUGUUGUGAAAUCCCCGGGCUCAACCUGGGGAUGGCAAUGGAUACUGGGCAGCUAGAGUGUGUCAGAGGAUGGUGGAAUUCCCGGUGUAGCGGUGAAAUGCGUAGAGAUCGGGAGGAACAUCAGUGGCGAAGGCGGCCAUCUGGGACAACACUGACGCUGAAGCACGAAAGCGUGGGGAGCAAACAGG